Molecule: ribosomal RNA, 406 nt
Filed under: uncultured bacterium
Lineage: Bacteria
Description: partial 16S ribosomal RNA
Rfam family: Bacterial small subunit ribosomal RNA
Source: RNAcentral
AUCGAACGCUGGCGGCAGGCCUAACACAUGCAAGUCGAGCGAGCGGCGGACGCGUGAGUAAAGUGUGGGAAACUGCCGGAUGGCGGGGGAUAACUACAGGAAAAGGUAGCUAAUACCGCAUAGCAUCAGAUGUGCCCAGAUGGCAUUAGCUAGUAGGUGGGGUAACGGCUCACCUAGGCGACGAACCCUCCCUGGUCUGAGAGGAUGACCGGCCACAUUGGAACGAGGACCGGGCCAGGAUUCCAACGGGAGGCGGCGGGGGGGAAUAUUGCACAAUGGGGGCAAGCCUGAUAAGGCAAGGCGGCUUGGGGGAAGAAGGCCUGCGGGUUGAAAAGCACUUUCAGCGGGGAGACGUUACCCGCAGAAGAAGCACCGGCUAACUCCGUGCCAGCAGCCGCGGUAAUUC